The sequence is a ribosomal RNA, 1395 nucleotides long. It matches the Rfam family "Bacterial large subunit ribosomal RNA", at positions 1552 to 2925 of the family's 2925-position model.
AAGGCCGAGAGCUGAUGACGAGUGUUCUUUUAGAACACGAAGUGGUUGAUGCCAUGCUUCCAAGAAAAGCUUCUAAGCUUCAGGUAACCAGGAACCGUACCCCAAACCGACACAGGUGGUUGGGUAGAGAAUACCAAGGCGCUUGAGAGAACUCGGGUGAAGGAACUAGGCAAAAUGGCACCGUAACUUCGGGAGAAGGUGCGCCGGUGAGGGUGAAGCAUUUACUGCGUAAGCCCACGCCGGUCGAAGAUACCAGGCCGCUGCGACUGUUUAUUAAAAACACAGCACUCUGCAAACACGAAAGUGGACGUAUAGGGUGUGACGCCUGCCCGGUGCCGGAAGGUUAAUUGAUGGGGUUAGCGCAAGCGAAGCUCUUGAUCGAAGCCCCGGUAAACGGCGGCCGUAACUAUAACGGUCCUAAGGUAGCGAAAUUCCUUGUCGGGUAAGUUCCGACCUGCACGAAUGGCGUAACGAUGGCGGCGCUGUCUCCACCCGAGACUCAGUGAAAUUGAAAUCGCUGUGAAGAUGCAGUGUAUCCGCGGCUAGACGGAAAGACCCCGUGAACCUUUACUAUAGCUUUGCACUGGACUUUGAAUUUGCUUGUGUAGGAUAGGUGGGAGGCUUUGAAGCGUGGACGCCAGUCUGCGUGGAGCCAACCUUGAAAUACCACCCUGGCAACUUUGAGGUUCUAACUCAGGUCCGUUAUCCGGAUCGAGGACAGUGUAUGGUGGGUAGUUUGACUGGGGCGGUCUCCUCCUAAAGAGUAACGGAGGAGUACGAAGGUGCGCUCAGACCGGUCGGAAAUCGGUCGUAGAGUAUAAAGGCAAAAGCGCGCUUGACUGCGAGACAGACACGUCGAGCAGGUACGAAAGUAGGUCUUAGUGAUCCGGUGGUUCUGUAUGGAAGGGCCAUCGCUCAACGGAUAAAAGGUACUCCGGGGAUAACAGGCUGAUACCGCCCAAGAGUUCAUAUCGACGGCGGUGUUUGGCACCUCGAUGUCGGCUCAUCACAUCCUGGGGCUGAAGCCGGUCCCAAGGGUAUGGCUGUUCGCCAUUUAAAGUGGUACGCGAGCUGGGUUUAGAACGUCGUGAGACAGUUCGGUCCCUAUCUGCCGUGGACGUUUGAGAUUUGAGAGGGGCUGCUCCUAGUACGAGAGGACCGGAGUGGACGAACCUCUGGUGUUCCGGUUGUCACGCCAGUGGCAUUGCCGGGUAGCUAUGUUCGGAAAAGAUAACCGCUGAAAGCAUCUAAGCGGGAAACUUGCCUCAAGAUGAGAUCUCACUGGAACCUUGAGUUCCCUGAAGGGCCGUCGAAGACUACGACGUUGAUAGGUUGGGUGUGUAAGCGCUGUGAGGCGUUGAGCUAACCAAUACUAAUUGCCCGUGAGGCUUGACC